GAUCCGUUAGCUCAGUUGGGAGAGCGCUACCUUGACAGGGUAGAGGUCACUGGUUCGAGCCCAGUACGGGUCA
This is a transfer RNA of 73 nucleotides. It matches the Rfam family "tRNA". Rfam says of the family: Transfer RNA (tRNA) molecules are approximately 80 nucleotides in length. The record is from Rfam.